This 77-nucleotide transfer RNA is filed under the name Alphaproteobacteria bacterium. RNAcentral's name for it is "tRNA-Gly". It matches the Rfam family "tRNA". Rfam says of the family: Transfer RNA (tRNA) molecules are approximately 80 nucleotides in length. Their secondary structure includes four short double-helical elements and three loops (D, anti-codon, and T loops). Further hydrogen bonds mediate the characteristic L-shaped molecular structure. tRNAs have two regions of fundamental functional importance: the anti-codon, which is responsible for specific mRNA codon recognition, and the 3' end, to which the tRNAs corresponding amino acid is attached (by aminoacyl-tRNA synthetases). tRNAs cope with the degeneracy of the genetic code in two manners: having more than one tRNA (with a specific anti-codon) for a particular amino acid; and 'wobble' base-pairing, i.e. permitting non-standard base-pairing at the 3rd anti-codon position. Lineage: Bacteria; Pseudomonadati; Pseudomonadota; Alphaproteobacteria. The record is from RNAcentral.
GCGGCCAUAGCUCAGCCAGGUUAGAGCAAAUGGCUUCCACCCAUUAGGCGCGAGUUCGAUUCUCGCUGGCCGCUCCA